Molecule: ribosomal RNA, 425 nt
Filed under: uncultured bacterium
Lineage: Bacteria
Description: bacterial SSU rRNA
Rfam family: Bacterial small subunit ribosomal RNA
Source: RNAcentral
GUGGGGAAUCUUGGACAAUGGGCGCAAGCCUGAUCCAGCCAUGCCGCGUGAGUGAUGAAGGCCUUAGGGUUGUAAAGCUCUUUUGUCGGGGACGAUAAUGACGGUACCCGAAGAAUAAGCUCCGGCUAACUUCGUGCCAGCAGCCGCGGUAAUACGAAGGGAGCUAGCGUUGUUCGGAAUCACUGGGCGUAAAGCGCACGUAGGCGGAUUUGUUAGUGAGGGGUGAAAUCCCGGGGCUCAACCUCGGAACUGCCUUUCAUACUGCAGAUCUCGAGUCCGAUAGAGGUGGGUGGAAUUCCUAGUGUAGAGGUGAAAUUCGUAGAUAUUAGGAAGAACACCGGUGGCGAAGGCGGCCCACUGGAUCGGUACUGACGCUGAGGUGCGAAAGCGUGGGGAGCAAACAGGAUUAGAAACCCUGGUAGUCC